UUUGCGUUUUUAAAUUCUCAUACUUUUUUUUUUUUGCACUUUCUCCUUUGGUUUUCAUUUUUAUUUUGAAUUAACUUUUCUCUUUUUUAAUUUUUUGCCUUUGACUUUUUAUAUUGUUUUCUCAUUAUGUCUUAUAUGUUUUUCAAUUUUUUGUAUUUUUUGAACUUUUUUUUUUAUUUUGUCAUUCCAUUUCAUUUUUGAAGUUUUUAUUCAAUUUUUGUCUUUUUUAUUUUCUUACUUUUUAUAUUUUUAUUGUAUUUUUGUUCAUCUUUUAUUUUGGUUUAUUUUUUUAUUUUAUCAUUGUUGGUUAUUUUCUAUUGCAUUUUUAUAAUUUUUCUUUAACUUUUUCUCCUUUCAAAUUUUUCUUCUUUUUUUUACUUAUUUUUUCACGUGCUUUCAUAUUUUUUUUGUUUUCACUUUUUUCUUUGUUUUAAAAUAUUCUAUAAACUUUUUUCUUUUUGUUUUAUUUCAUAAUUUUGACUCUUCAUUUUUUAUUUUUUUCUUGUUUUAACUUUUUUUUUUUGCACUUCCUUGUCUUGUUUUUAUUUUUAUUUUGUAUUAACUUUUUCCCUUUGUUAAUUUUUUUGUCUUUGAUUUUUUUUAAUUUUUUCUUAUUACUUUUUGCUUAUGUUUUCUAAAUUAAUUUUUUCUAUUUUGUAAUCCCUUUUCAUUUUUUAUCUCCUUUUAAUUUUUUAUCUUUCAUUUUUUAUACCUUUAUUUCUUAUUGUUCGUUAUAUUUUUUUUAUUUUUUGUUCGUAUUUUAUAAACUAAUUUUUUUUUACAAUUUUAAAACCUCUAACUUCUUUUUUUGUGCACUUCCUUUUGUUUUUAUUUCUUUUUUUGUUAACUUUUAUUUUAUUUUUUAUCUUUGAUUUUUUAUAUCUUUUUCUUGUAUUUGUUUUUUUUUUCUUUAAACUAAAAGUUUUUUCUGUUU
Molecule: long non-coding RNA, 934 nt
Filed under: Durio zibethinus
Lineage: Eukaryota; Viridiplantae; Streptophyta; Magnoliopsida; Malvales; Malvaceae
Description: long non-coding RNA (DZIB_LNC001163)
Source: RNAcentral